UACGUAGGGUGCAAGCGUUGUCCGGAAUUAUUGGGCGUAAAGAGCUCGUAGGCGGUUUGUCGCGUCUGCUGUGAAAUCCCGAGGCUCAACCUCGGGCCUGCAGUGGGUACGGGCAGACUAGAGUGCGGUAGGGGAGAUUGGAAUUCCUGGUGUAGCGGUGGAAUGCGCAGAUAUCAGGAGGAACACCGAUGGCGAAGGCAGAUCUCUGGGCCGUAACUGACGCUGAGGAGCGAAAGCGUGGGGAGCGAACAGGAUUAGAUACCCGCGUAGUCC
Molecule: ribosomal RNA, 273 nt
Filed under: uncultured bacterium
Lineage: Bacteria
Description: partial 16S ribosomal RNA
Rfam family: Bacterial small subunit ribosomal RNA
Source: RNAcentral